Hylaeus volcanicus is the source of this 1396-nucleotide RNA transcript. RefSeq lists it as uncharacterized. Lineage: Eukaryota; Metazoa; Arthropoda; Insecta; Hymenoptera; Colletidae. The record is from RefSeq and is a predicted model, not a curated record. The transcript is spliced from 9 exons.
GGCAACACUAGUUUGUCAUCGUGAAGCUGGCACGAUCUGGUCUCUAGUCAGACUUAGUCAGUCUUAUUCUUAUCAAGUGGGUAUACACUUCGUUGUCAGCAACCAGUAUCAGUCAAUUCAUUUCAUACGAACAAAAAUGUUACCACCAACGUACGUGGAAGGGUUUCACGAUUUAGAAGCCGUGAAAGCUAUGGAGUAUAGACCUCUCGGUAACACUGGACUGCUCGUCAGUAAACUUUCCUUCGGGGGCGGACCAUUGGGUUGCCACUAUGGCGCAUACGACGAGGAUGAAGCUAUUGAAGCGAUACGUCAAGGAAUAAAACGGGGUAUUAAUUACAUUGAUACUGGACCAUGGUACGGCCAAGGUCGUUCUGAAACCGUGAUUGGAAAAGCUCUGAAAGGCAUUCCACGCAAAGCAUAUUAUAUUGCAACGAAAGUUGGAAGGUAUGAAUUAAAUUACGAAAACAUGUUUGACUUUUCGAAAGAGAAAACUCGAAAAAGUUUUAAAGACAGUUUAGAACAUUUAGGUUUGGAUUAUGUCGAUGUUAUACAAGUUCACGACAUCGAGUUCGCUCCAAGUUUAGAUAUUAUAAUUACACAAACUUUACCAGAACUGUCGAGCAAAGUCGCGGAUGGUAAAGCCAAAUAUAUCGGUAUCACCGGAUAUCCGGUAUCCAUUUUGAAGAAAUGUGUCGAACAGAGUAAUAUUACUAUAUCUUGCAUAUUGAGCUAUGCAAGGUACACAUUAAUAGACGAUAAUCUGAUGGAAUACAUUCCAUUCUUCAAGGCGAAAAAUAUUGGUAUAAUUAAUGCUGCAGCACCUUGUAUGGGACUUUUAACUAAUAAUGGCCCACCAGCUUGGCAUCCUAGUUCAGAACAAACAAAGAAAAUAUGUGCAGAUGCAGCAAAGUGUUGUAAGGAUCAUGAUACAGAAUUAGCUAAAUUAGCAUUGUGGCAUUCUCUUCAAUGUAAAGAUAUAGCUACAUAUUUAGUUGGAAUUCAGAAUUUAAAAGAAUUAAAUAUGAAUCUUGAUAUUCUUAAGAAUGGUAUUACAGAAAAAGAAAAAGCUCUCCUGCAAGAAAUUCAAGAGAAUUCCCGAUAUCCGAAUCUUUUAAACUGUCUGAUCUGACAUAGGAAUAUGCCCUACCAGCAUAUUUUUGUGAUACAUAAGUCCCCAGACUUUUUUAUCGCGCUUCAGCCUGAUAUCAAGCUGAUACUUGUGUAAAGUAACGGAAAAACAUUGGGAAAACAAAGAAGUUGAAAUAUAUUGGAAUAAUAUGAAAAAAUGAGAAAAUAUAUUUUUAUAAUUUUUUCAUACACAUUGUAAUGACCUCGAGCAAUGUGUUAAUAGUUGAAUUGUAUAAUAAACUUUCGAAAUAGAACUAUAUUUUCAAUA